UAAACCCUUAGGUUGCAAGAUCGGUUCCCCGAGCUGACAAGGUACAAAUCGUUCGUUCUGCCCCUGAACAAGGCAGUUAACCCACUGUUCCUAAGCCAUCAUUGAAAAUAAGAAUGUGUUCUUAACUGACUUGCCGAGUAAAAUAAAAAUAAAUAAAUAAAAAUUGUGUCGACGACCGGCUCCCUCCUAGUCAGGUUGUGUCGACGACCGGCUCCCUCCUAGUCAGGUUGUGUCGACGACCGGCUCCCUCCUAGUCAGGUUGUGUCGACGACCGGCUCCCUCCUAGUCAGGUUGUGUCGACAACCGGCUCCCUCCUAGUCAGGUUGUGUCGAUGACCGGCUCCCUCCUAGUCAGGUUGUGUAGAUGACCGGCUCCCUCCUAGUCAG
Oncorhynchus tshawytscha (Chinook salmon) is the source of this 386-nucleotide long non-coding RNA. Lineage: Eukaryota; Metazoa; Chordata; Actinopteri; Salmoniformes; Salmonidae. The record is from Ensembl.